Long non-coding RNA from Canis lupus familiaris (dog), 866 nucleotides. RefSeq lists it as uncharacterized. The transcript has 3 exons. The record is from RefSeq and is a predicted model, not a curated record. NCBI's taxonomy places the organism in Eukaryota, Metazoa, Chordata, Mammalia, Carnivora, Canidae.
UGUUAAGUGACAGCACCUGGACAGGAACUCACGUCAGUCUGACAUCAGGGGUUGUACUCAUAUCCUCUGUGAUUCUUCUCACUGCCACCUCACCACUCCCUGCGCUUGAGUCCCUCCCUUCUUAUUUCCUUUCUCCCCAUGGCCACAAGAACAGUAUUAAAAAUAUUUAUAACCAGCAUGGUGUGAGAGUUGGUGAGUCAGCUGAGAUGUCUGACAUAGUUAGUGCAGGGAAGGAUCCUGUAGGCCCCUGGAGAGCCAGAGAGAUGUUGGCCAUUUAGCUUACUGGAAGGACUAUGAAGAUUGAAUCAGGAUGCUCAGGAGCUCAGGACAGCUCCUACUUGCCAACUGUUACACAGUCCUUUUAAUACUUCAAUAGGAGGCGUGGUAAUACUGAUACAGACCAGCUAAGUAUCAGCAAUGAUUGGCUGAACAAAUUAAUAGCAAGAUAGAACUCGGAUCUUACAAAGGAAUGUUUUGCUCUAGACUUUCAACCUGAAAAAAUGUAGAAGAGUUUGUUCAUUGGGGGAAAAGGGAAAAGAGUGGAAGAAUAUGCCAGAGGACUGGAGAUUCCAGGACGGCACUGAGGAGAGCUUCUAGAGUUAACCCACAGUGUCAGGCAAAUGAGCACCAUUAACAAGCCAUUUGAGAAAAAUGAGUCUUAUAUCGUCACUGCUGCUAUUCCUGCCACCAUCUCCAAAGAACCUUGGAUUGCUACGAUAUUUACAGAGAAAAUCACCUUGGACACUCUACCUAUCUCAGCCUGAAGAUCAUGAAGCUGGUGGAUGCUGGCAGUGAUAAACUGAACUAUUACUGCCAGCUCACAUCCUCUUUUCUGGGCAACUUUGCAAUUCCUCCCACAAAAAUAA